CGAAGGAAGACAUCAUUGAGUUCAUUAAGAAGAAUCGGGAUAAGGCUGCUCAGCAAGAAGGCUCAAAAGAUGAGCUGUGAUGAGGUAAAAGUCACAGUUUGUUGCUGACUUCCUCUUCCAUAAUCAUUCUAGGGAAUGUUGGGUUUACCCUCUUUUUCCAGAUUGCUGGGGAGGUUUUGAAAUUGAUUCAUUUUCCUUAAAUGCAGUGAGGGCAUCCUUGUCAUCUGUGAAGAAGAUACAAACAUUUCCCAGUUGGGUACUACUGGUGGCGAC
Molecule: long non-coding RNA, 273 nt
Filed under: Vitis vinifera (wine grape)
Lineage: Eukaryota; Viridiplantae; Streptophyta; Magnoliopsida; Vitales; Vitaceae
Description: long non-coding RNA (VVIN_LNC005903)
Source: RNAcentral